GGCUCUUUGAUCAAUAUAAAGAGUUAGACCUGCCCAGUGAUUAGUAUUUAUUAAAUGGCCGCGGUACACUGACCGUGCAAAGGUAGCGUAAUCAUUUGCCUUUUAAUUGGAGGCUGGUAUGAAUGGUCAGACGGGGAGUCUACUGUCUCUCCAGAAUAGAGAAAAAUUAAAUUCUAGGUUAAAAUGCCUAGCUGAUAUUGAAAGACGAGAAGACCCUAACGAGCUUUAUUUUUAGCACUAAUCAUAAGUAGUGCUCAAACUUUUGUUGGGGCGACUGAGGAAACCGGAGCUUCCUUUUAUAAGAAGAAAUUAUGGUUAAGGAUCCAGCGUAUUAUGCUGAAGCCAGGCGAGCUACCGUAGGGAUAACAGCGUAAUCCUUUUAAAGAGUUCCUAUCGAAAAAAGGGUUUGCGACCUCGAUGUUGGACUAGGAUAUCCUAGUGGUGUAGAAGCUUCUGAGGGUUGGUCUGUUCGACCAAUAAAAUCCU
RNAcentral lists this ribosomal RNA (486 nucleotides) under Dendropoma petraeum. Its description in RNAcentral is "partial 16S ribosomal RNA". It matches the Rfam family "Bacterial large subunit ribosomal RNA", at positions 1817 to 2597 of the family's 2925-position model. The record is from RNAcentral. Lineage: Eukaryota; Metazoa; Mollusca; Gastropoda; Littorinimorpha; Vermetidae.